This 2159-nucleotide long non-coding RNA is filed under the name Malus domestica (apple). RNAcentral describes it as "long non-coding RNA (MDOM_LNC008062)". The record is from RNAcentral. Lineage: Eukaryota; Viridiplantae; Streptophyta; Magnoliopsida; Rosales; Rosaceae.
CAUUCAGUACCACCUCACGUGGUCUGCAUCUCAUCACUGUAUAUAUCAUAAUAUGCUCUAGUGCUACAAUCACGUGAAGCUGUGCGAUAAAUCGCGGGUCACCUACAAGUCGAACCCACAUAAGUGGUCUAUACGACAGGCUAUACACCUACUUGGAUCCAAGGCGAGCAUGCGGUGUGGGAGGUGAACAUACACGUGAAGGCUAUGCCUCUCUCUAGGCGGGAGCACUUAUAUACGUGUGCAAGUAAAUGAGCUUUCUAUCACAUCUCAAUCAUAUAACUCAACAUAUCUCAACCAUAUCUCAUCACAUUUCAUACAUAUCUCAAUCACAUUUCAUACAUAUCUCAAUCACAUUUCAUACAUAUCUCAAUCACGUUUCAUGCGUAUUUCAAUUGUAUAUUAUACAUAUAUCAAAUGCAUAUCGUACGUAUUUCAAAUGUAUAUUAUACGUAUUUUUAUACGUAUUUCAAAUGUAUAUAAAAUGUAUCUAAUACGUAUGUCAAUUGUAUUUCAAUAAUAUUCAAACGUAUCUUAAUCGUAUUUCCAUAGUAUUUCAUUCAUUUUCAACAUAAUAUGUCACAUGUAACGUACCUGGGCCUUCUCAGCACCAUGCAACAAUAUGUAUAAUUAUGGUAAUGCACAUAUCAAAAUAUAAUGCAUAUUUGACAAGUUAUUUAAUUCGUAUUUAUAUUUAAAAUACGUUUUCUAGGAAACACGUCAAGUAUACUUAUAUAUAUACUGAAAAAUAACUGCCCACUCACUGAUAAGUAGCCGGUUCGUAACCCCCUCGCCUAUUUUGGUUACGUUCUUCGUCCGUAUAAUUUUCACCUAUACAAAAAUAAUUAUAAAACAUUAUUUAAUAUGCACAUACACAAACAUACGUCAAUAACUUCUCAUACGUUGCUCAAUUUGGGUAUGUGAAUAUACCACGGUGACUUACUCGACGUCACGAAUACGUACAUAAUUUUAAUUAAUUUUUUAUUGGCUCACGCGCCCCCACGCGCCGUGGGUGGCACUGACCUACGCGCGGCCCACGCGCAGGGAAUCCUGACGGAAACCUAACGGCGUCAGGAAUAUUCCGUUAAACAUAACGGAAUAUUCUGUCUUCUUCUCCGACGGUCCUCGCCGGACUCCGGUCGCCGGAAAAACUGGGAAAUUUUCAUUUCGCCUAUUCUCACUCGUUUUUGGUCCAUUUUCUUCGAAUUUUAUACCAAUUUAAAGCCCUCAACCUAUAGAAUCACGUUGGACUAGUUUUAGGGUCUAAAAACAACGAGAUUUUACCUUCCAGAAUUUCUCAAAAUCGGCCAAACUCGAACUGGGUGAUCCUGACGUCCAAAACUUCCCAACGUUACACUCCGAGCAUCCUUGGGACCUUCUAAGACUCAAUGUGAUCUUUGUUUAGCCUAAAACAUAGCCAUAAUAAAGUUUAUGAACAGUACAUAAACACGGGACCUUUGAAACUAGAGUUUUUCGAAACGAAACUCACCUGAAUUUGGUAUCCCCGUGUUCGUGAAGUUCUCAGGAUCACGAUGGUGGUCUUAGAUCCAACGUUCGUACAAGUUUGAUUGAGUUUUUGUGUGUGUGUUGCUUACGGGUUCGAGAGGGAGAGUUAGAGAGAGAGAGAGAGACUGUCGAGGGAUAGAGAGAGAGAGAGUUUCAGGUUCGUGUGAGGGAAUGACGAUGAGUGAAGGUAUUAUUAAGGGAGGCAGUGGAGCACUUCACGGAAAGGAAAUGGAAAUGGAAUCGGACGUGUGAUCCAUUCCUUAGCCUUUAAUCAUUCAACAUAUAAAAUAGCCGUCCAAACCUUAAACAAUUGUAUAAGGAUUUAGGGUAUUUAACACACUGUAUACAUAUGACACGUUAAAUCGGGACGGGUUGUCACAGAAAAAAUGGAAUUUAAAAAAAAUAUGAACCAAAUUUUGUGAAAUAGAAGUUAUAGGAAAAAAAUGGAAUUUAAAAAAAAAUAUGAACCAAAUUUUGUGAAAUAGAAAUUAUAGGAAAAAAUAGAAGUUAUAUGAAAAUUUUUGUAAAUAAAAAAAAAAUGUAAAAAAAUAAAAAAUAAAAUAAAAUGCAAAGGCUAGUAGUCGUUUCAUUUGAAUUUUUUUUAAAAAAAAAUCCUGUCCGUUAUAACCCACAGGAAUACACCAUUAUUUAGUAUA